CCUACGGGUGGCAGCAGUGAGGAAUAUUGGUCAAUGGCCGGAAGGCUGAACCAGCCAUGCCGCGUGAAGGUCAGUGCCCUAUGGGCGUUAAACUUCUUUUGUGCGGGAGCAAUAAUGGUCACGUGUGGCCAGACGAGAGUACCGUACGAUUCAGCAUCGGCUAACUCCGUGCCAGCAGCCGCGGUAAUACGGGGGAUGCAAGCGUUAUCCGGAUUUAUUUGGUUUAAAGGGUGCGUCGGCUGGGAGGUAAGUCAGCGGUGAAAUGCCCCCGCUCAACGGGGUGAAGUGCCAUUGAUACUGCCUUGCUGGAAGGCGGAUGCCGUGGGAGGAAGGUGUGGUGUAGCGGUGAAAUGCAGAG
Molecule: ribosomal RNA, 358 nt
Filed under: uncultured bacterium
Lineage: Bacteria
Description: partial 16S ribosomal RNA
Rfam family: Bacterial small subunit ribosomal RNA
Source: RNAcentral